RNAcentral lists this long non-coding RNA (719 nucleotides) under Ricinus communis (castor bean). Its description in RNAcentral is "long non-coding RNA (RCOM_LNC002952)". The record is from RNAcentral. Lineage: Eukaryota; Viridiplantae; Streptophyta; Magnoliopsida; Malpighiales; Euphorbiaceae.
AAAGUCCCUUUGAUUUUUGGCAUCUAAUAUAUAUGUAGUGAUGGAGACUUAAUUCAUUAGCAAGCUUAUGGUAAUAACAUGCUAUAUUUUGAUUCUAAGAGCAAAUGUACCCUAAACACUUUGAGAGUUUUGAGUGAAACCAUGUUAGGGUGUUAAGUCUUGUUGCAUUUGAUUUUGAUGGAUUAGUGAGACACUUUUUUUUUUUGUUACAAGAUUUAUCCUAUGAGUGAUAUUCUCUUGAUUAUCAUUAUGAUUUAACUCAUUGAUGUAUGUUUAACUUAUUUGGUAUUUUUGGAUAUUGAAAGAGAUGAAAAGGAAGUAGAGUGAGAAUUGGUAUGUUGAGUUGAGAUAUGCUUGAGAACAAGCAUGGAUUAGGUGUGGGGGGAAUUUGAUAGAUCAUAAAUAGUUAUACUUAUUCUGUUUAAUUCUCUUAUAUUUUGAUUGGAUAUUAUGCUUAAUUGAGGAAAUUGUGUUUAUUCUGAUCUAGGUGAUGAAAUAUCAAGAAUUGAGCGGAAUUCAGCUUAAAGACUUGUUUUAAAGCAUCACUUGUCAAAAAUCAAGUUUUUUGGAGGAAGAGUGAAUAUUUAUGCAGAAGGUCAUUUUCAAGAAGGUGUGGCCAUGCUCUAAACUCUGUGAGCUGCUGAAAUCUGUUGAAGAGACUUUCGAACUUUUUAAGUUAAAUUUAUGGUAGGCCCACUUUUGUAUUAUUUCCUUUAUUU